GGGCGAGUGAAGCGGCAAAAGCUCAAAUUUGAAAUCUAGCACUUUCAGUGUUCGAGUUGUAAUUUGAAGAAGGUAACUUUGGAAUUGGCUCUUGUCUAUGUUCCUUGGAACAGGACGUCACAGAGGGUGAGAAUCCCGUGCGAUGAGAUGUCCAAUUCUAUGUAAAGUGCUUUCGAAGAGUCGAGUUGUUUGGGAAUGCAGCUCUAAGUGGGUGGUAAAUUCCAUCUAAAGCUAAAUAUUGGCGAGAGACCGAUAGCGAACAAGUACAGUGAUGGAAAGAUGAAAAGAACUUUGAAAAGAGAGUGAAAAAGUACGUGAAAUUGUGAAAGGGAAGGCUUGAGAUCAGACUUGGUAUUUGUGUCUUAUCUCUUGAUUAGGU
RNAcentral lists this ribosomal RNA (379 nucleotides) under Dujonia oleophila. RNAcentral's name for it is "[Candida] oleophila partial large subunit ribosomal RNA". It matches the Rfam family "Eukaryotic large subunit ribosomal RNA", at positions 87 to 464 of the family's 3401-position model. The record is from RNAcentral. Lineage: Eukaryota; Fungi; Ascomycota; Pichiomycetes; Serinales; Debaryomycetaceae.